AGGGGUGUGGCUCAGUAGCAGAGUGCUUGCCCAGCAUGCAUGAAACCCUGGGUUCCACCCCCAGCACUGCCA
Molecule: transfer RNA, 72 nt
Filed under: Marmota marmota marmota (Alpine marmot)
Lineage: Eukaryota; Metazoa; Chordata; Mammalia; Rodentia; Sciuridae
Also listed under: 3 other names
Rfam family: tRNA
About the family: Transfer RNA (tRNA) molecules are approximately 80 nucleotides in length.
Source: Rfam by way of RNAcentral